RNAcentral lists this long non-coding RNA (6651 nucleotides) under Taeniopygia guttata (zebra finch). RNAcentral's name for it is "lncRNA (ENSTGUG00000020886.1)". The record is from RNAcentral. Lineage: Eukaryota; Metazoa; Chordata; Aves; Passeriformes; Estrildidae.
UUUUUUUUCUUUUUUUUCUUUUUUUUUUUCUCUCCCCCUUUUCAAAUUUCCAUUUUACAAUUGGCCAAAAAAACCCCGAAGUCUGCGUGGAGUGAAAUGAAGCCAUUUGCAAAGCUAAUGAUGUUGUGAAGGGUGUCUGUGGUGAGCCGUAUCAGCCAGAUUUCAGAAAGGUGGUUCAAUGAGUGCAGCAUUAAAAUGAGGGACAGCCUCCAGCAAAAUCAUAAUUGAACACACCCAAGUCCUUAAUGUCUGCAGUUGGGUUUCCUGAUGCAAAUUACGAUAACAUUUCAGAUGUGAGCAGUCGCUUUCCAGUAGCUGCAGUGGAAAAGAGACAUUUUAUGCCACAAAGGGAAGAAUUACCAUGUUUAAAAAUGUAAAUAAUAUAUGUAUAGAAAGCUUUUUUAUGGAAAUGAGGCAUUCAGGAUUAUGUGAACAGUUUGGGCUAUUUUUUUUUCCCCUUUUAAACACAACAGAUAAAGAUGUGUGAUCUAUUAUUCAGGGCUUUAAUUACAGUUCUAAAACUGCAGUGAUUUUAUUUAAAAAAAAAAAAAAUCCCUGGGCAUAAAAAGUAAUGUUUUCGGUGGGGAAAGUUGAGGGAUUUUUUUUUAAUACAAUGGUGAAAAUACAGAACAAAAAAAUCACCGUUAAUAGAUUUCAAUGCUACAAAAUCAUACACAGAAAUACAUCUUAAAUGCUCUGGAAUGCAGUCAUCUUCCUGUAAAUCAGAAAAGGCCUUAGAUAAAUAGGUUUGACCUGAUUUAAAUUUAAUGAGAUACAUAGUCCUGAUUGUUAAUAAUUGGUGUGGGGGAACCCAAAACAAUAAAAGCAAUAAUCUCCUCAAGUAUAAAUUAUACAAAUUUAUUUAGCAAUCAGCCGAAGGGAGGGGGGGGAAGCCAUUAACAUUAUCAAUUUGUUUAGUUGAAGUUAGUUAUAAUAAGCAAAUAAUUGGAAGCCAAAUUGGCAGGCAGGCUUGGAGAAAGGGAAUAUUGGAGAUGCCUGUGUGUGAUGAAGCUCUGGGGCCACUAGAUGGUAUGGUCCUCCCAGCAGAAAGGGCUUUUUCCAUGCAAGGACCAUUCAUAAUCAUCCAAACCAAGUGAAACAUGGUUUUGAUUAAAGCAGCCUGUUGGCUCAAUAAUCUCGGUAAUUUUAAAAACAUCCUUAAUGUGGAAGCAGAACACUGCAAUGUCAGAGAUGGCCUUGGGGCCCAUUAUAAACAGCAACAAAAUAAAUAAGGAGAAGAAAUGAGAGGUCAUGAAAACAAAAUUAAGCUAAUGUUUCAAAUUUUGACAAUUAUGAAUUGUUCCUCCAAGAAGACAUUAAAAAAAAUAAUUCAGGCACUAUUAGAUAAAAUACAAAGAGAAUAAUUGUACAUGUAUGAGUUUCCCAUGGGACUAAGCAUGCUUUAAAAGCAAAACUUGACUUAGAUUUCCCCUCUUCCCCCCGCCCCCCUUUCUAGCCAGCAAUUGGGCAGGUCUCAUGCAAACACAGACUUGCUUCUCCAGUUCCUCCAAAAACUCCUCUCUAAUUCCUUUAUCAGCCAUUAAAAGAUGAUGACCAAGAAAACAAACAAACAAAAAUUACAAGAGUAUUUUCUAUGGGAAAAAAAAAAAUAAUAUCCCCCAUUAUGGACCUUUUUUUUUCUUUUUUUGUAGGAAACCGAAACAAGCAAAUAUAACAAAAUCUGUGUUCAUAACAUGGCAAUAUAGUUAAUAUAUACAAAUAUGUACAGUAUAAAAAUGCAUCAAAGGCGCAACUUUUCAUCCAAACAAGCUGCAGGGCCCGAGGAGGAGCAGCUUGGCCCCCUCCUCUCUGAGUUACAGGCAAUAUGUUCUAUACAGCAUGCACUGGUUCCAAAAUGAGUGCAGGAGCACCGAGACAUUCCCAGGGAAAGUCACCACCAGGCCUCUCGCCAGGGAGGCUGCGUUCUUCAUAUAAAAAAUGGGUUUAAUCUUGCCUUUUUUUUUUUUUUUUUGCCAUUUGGAGUAUAUACAUUUUUUUUUUUUUUAAAGAGAAAUGAGCUUUUGAUUCUUUAUUUUCCUUCUUGUUUUUGAAACAGGAUCCUAACAGCACGGGUCACAGGUGUAACCUGAGGAUGCUGCCAACAACACACAGAGGGAGCAGCAGCGCUGGGGCAGAGCAAACCCAUCCAGAUUCACCAGUGUGGCCAACUGUGCCUGAAAUGGGGCUGGGUCCCUCCUGGUUCCAGGUAACAAAACCCAAAACAAACACUCAGAGUAAAAGACCAACAAAGGAUUAAGAAGACAGGACAAAAGGGCGCAUUGUACCAGAGACAUAGGACAGAGAAGAACCCUGAGCCAAAUGAGAACUGUCGAGCUUGUCAGCUUUUGCAGCCUGUAUUGCACAUUGCAGCAGCUGCUGUGGGCAGAGCUGAGCUCCUGCCCUGCCCAUCCUGCAGUUCCUGCUGCCAGCAGUGCCCAGCUGCCUGCUCCCGAAGGGAUGCACAAACACACACAGCCCUGCGUGGCCCUGGCUGCUUGGUGUGUGCACCUGCACGUCCUCCUGGACACACACAGAUUUGCCAUUCUGAAAUGUCACCUGGACCGGCUUCUCAGUGAAAAUAUUGCCCACGUUUCUGGGCAGGAGAUGCGUGAUGCCCUGUGGGGAUGGGGAAAGCGUUCCCCGCCUUGAACGUGGCUGCACUUUUGCAAGAUGUUGUUCUCAUUUUCUUCACGAAAUACUGGUCGUUUUUCCCCCUGCUAUCUCAUCUAAGGAAUCUAAUGAAAGAAUUUGUUGCCUUUACUUAGAUCAAAAAAGGAAAGGAAAAAAAAAAAGUUUGCUCAGCUCGAUGGUGUGAACUGAAGUGAGCUGUGCGAUCCGCCAGGAUUAGUGUUUAAUCUGUUGUCUCAAACAGGGCUUUUUACAAAGAACUAAAGGCAUUUCAUGAGCUGAGAGGGAUGAUGAACUGGAAGUUUAUUACUCUACAGUUAAGUCCAGUGGUACAGUGAGCUCACUUUUAAAAUUACUCUCCAAGAAAAUACUGUGCAAACAUUUUGGUACAAGAAAUAAGUGUCGUCUGAAACUCCAUCUACUCUUCACUUCUCUUCUGGCAGAAUGAAAGCAAAAAUCCACCACUAGACUGCAGGAUACUGGGAUGCAAGUACUUGCACUGGGAUAAAAGUGGUCCAGCAGAGCAAAAGGAGCUGUACCAGUAUAAAGUGCUUUAUAUUGAUACAACUGGUGUUAUUUUUACAAGCAGAGUCACAUCGAUACCAAAGUUUUGCAAUCACCUCCCUGACAUAACUAAAAACCUUCUCAAGUGCUGGAGAUUUAACUUGCCUGGAGCUAGGGACUGAAGUUUCCUGGGCUUGUUUUCAAAAAUGCCUAAAUACGUUUAGAACCUGAUGUUGGGAGCACGAGGAUGGCAUUUGGAGCUGGGUAGACAGAGGGUAAAUCUGCUGGAUUUGAAAGGGGGUCUCUGGAUUUACCCAGGAAUAAAUGCAUCCAGAAUCUGGCCUCUGCUUUUCAGCAGAGGGAGGGGAGGGGGUCACAGGGAUGUGUGGGGUGCAAAGGUGAGUCAGCUUCCAGUAGCACUGCAAACCCAUUAUUUUAAUUAUUUUAUUCUUUCACUUUCCUUCAGAAGACAACUGGAGGAUAAGAAUUGUAAAUUCUGUGUGUUUUCCUCUGCAGGAAAUAAUGAAGGAAAAAAGAAAUCCCAGGAAGCAUUUCUGGAAUGACCACCCAGUGGCUUACUCAGGGCCAUCAACCAACAGGCUGAUCCUGAGUUCAGCUGCUGACAAAUGAAGACAUUAUUGAUUAAAUACCAUUGAAAUCUGCCUUUAGAUGCAUGUCCUUUAUUCUUUUGUUAUGUUUAGAUAUAUUACACUUGCUGUGGUCCAAACUGACCCAAAUGGUCAAAGGAUCAAUGAUCCUGGAGAUCUUUCCCAACCCAAACGAUUCUGGGACAUAAAAAAGGCUCUGUUUGCACCCACAAUGUCCAACUGAAACUUUUCAGCACCAUUAGGGAAAUGUUCUUAGUUCUAGUGAAAUUCAGGAACUUCUUGCUGACCAUUUCCAGCUGAGGACAAGAAAAGUUGUGACCUGUGGGACAAAUUGUGAUGGGGAGCAGAAAACCCAGGGGAGGAAAACCCCAGUGUCACUGACCCUGCUGUGAAACCCAACGAGAAGCUGGUCUGGGGGCUCUGGGGUGGUCAAUAUCCAGGAGUUACAGCUCCAUAAUUCCUAACCAACUUCCUAGGAGCAGAAAUGACACGUCAGGCUGUGCUGGGAGAAGAUGGGCACAUACCAGUAGCACUUGCUGACAGCCUAUGGAAGUGGCUCUAUCAGUGCUCCUGCCUGGGGACAGAUGGCCCUUAAAGCCUGCUGUAAUUGCAACGUAUUGAUCUGGAAUCUGUGAUCAAUACUGUCUUUAUAGAGAGAAUUUUAAAUAUAAAUUGCAUCGUAUAUCUGUUGGUGAGGACAAAAGCCCUGUGUGAUGGAGAUCCCCCUCUGCCAGCCCCGGAGUGACGGUGGAAUAUGGAGAGGGGACGGGGACAGAGCCACAUCUUCAAUCUCUGCCAAAAAUCAGGCUGCCUUCCUCAUUCCCUUGUGUCCUUAGCAGGUUUGAUCCCAAAAGAACAUCCCCAGCAUGACCCUGAGUGUCUGGGAUGAGCCUGGAUCAGGCCAUGGGGAACCAGCACAGAGCCAGUGUCCCCCCAGCAGCUCCCACCCAAAACCCCAAUAUUCCUUUUUCCUGGUCACCAGGGCAGCUGGUUUUCCAUGCAAAUCCUGCAUGGGUGCUUCCCAGUGGGAAUAUCCCCUUCUGGUUUAGGAGCUGAACUGUGGGUUUGAAGAAAUCAAUAAAUAUGGCACUUUAUCAAAACAUGAUUAAGGAAAGAAAAAGAAGCCAAAAAUUAGGGAAAAAAUCCUGCUAUUUGAAUGCAUGAGAGUUGACUCAACAGCCUGUAAAACUGGCUUGGAAGGCUUCACCCCCUAUCGUGCUAAUAUAUAAUUAUUGAUUUUUAAAAUGACUUUUUAUAUCCUCCCUGAUCUCUAAAAAAGCUAGGGAGGUCAGUCUUGUAAAUACUUUUACAAGUAGGUAAUAAAACCCAUAAUAACUUGCAUUGACAAGUAAUUACUGGGCAGGUUUGUUAGCAGAUUCUCAAAGAUAUUCUUUAAACCCAACAAUUAUUAUUGUACAUAUGACAGCCAUUUUUAAAGUUAAGUGUCCUUCUCCCUCUCAGCUUAAGUAACAAAAACCUGGAAAAAACACCUGAGUCUGAUCCACUGAAAUUCUUAUAUAUUGGGCCCCAAAGGGAUGCUAAUUACAUCUCCCUGUUUUAAAACAAAACAUUUUUUUUUCAGGUGAUAUGGCUUAUUUUGACAUGGAUGGUGGCAGGAAGGGAGCUGUGGUCUCUGAAUAAAUCUUUCAAAGUAGUGUGUAAGGGUAACAACUCUUCCUGCUUUAUUUCAGUGCAAGAGCAUAAACAGCUUGGAUAUGUGGUGUAUCAAUAUGCCACUUGUUAAUAAGCAAGGGCGUGAAUCAUAAAUAUUCUGCUGUUUGAUCACCAGGCUUUUAAUUAAUGUUUUGAUGAUCUCCAAUAAGAAUAAAAGUCAGAACGAUAGAUAUUGAGUAGCGAUGACAGAGAAAAGAUGCAAUGAUUUUUUUGUGCUACCUGAUUUAUAUGACAGAAAAACUAUCAACUCAUCCAGUUUCAUACAGAGAAAAGAGAGAUGUACAUUUUUUUAUAUCGUAUUGUAAAAAAAAAAACCAACCAAAAUCACUUAAUUCAAAUGUGUACCUAAAACGUUCCCCAAGGACAGCAAUGCAGGUAAAAUGAUCAAACUUUAGCACCGUGUGAUAAAGGUUUGUGGCCAGAUUUUUAAACAGAGUAGCUGCUCCCACAAAGUGAAGACUCCUGAGCAAAACCUGACCUCCCUCAGGGGGUUUGGCCUUCCCAAAAUCUCCCCAGACUUUUGCAGCUCCGGGGUCCCUGGUGGGGCUGUGAACCCUAUGGUCACCCUGGGGGCACCAUAAAGGUUUCCUGCCAAAAUUGAGCAGCUGCUGCUCCAAACAGCCCCAGCUCUGGGUGCUGUGGGCUGGCUGGGGACCCCAGUCCCCCUUUUUGUGGGAAGAAGAUCCCAAGAGCUCCUCGUGCAGGAAUUCCAUGCAGGAAUUCCUACAGCUUGGCCUUGCUGCAUGGAGAAUCCUAUUAAAACCCAGCCAAACUCCCGGCCCUGAGAGACCAGGGCUGGGAGCUUCACCUGUAGAUGCUGCGAGCAGCCCAAGAUUUUCUCCCUGCACCCAAAAGCUCGGGGAGAGGAGCCACACGUGCAAUUCCUCCCCCGGGUGAUUUUCUGCGGUGCUCGUGGCAUUUGGGUCGGCACCACAGGCCCCACCUUGUGCAACUUCAUAACUCCAGCCUGGGCUGUGCAAUUUAACAGCUUCUGAGGAGCUCGAUGCUAAUGCAUUGAUUUUGCUUUAAUAGAAUUUUGUUGUCGAUGGCCAGUGCUCAGCACGGUGCAGGCUUCAAUCUUAACCCAUCUGAAGGCUCUGCUCGUUUCCAGUUGAGCUCCGUUCAUUUCCAGUUGAAUAGGUUAAGCAAAGACAGACCUCACUGUUCUCAAUUCACUUUAUGAUCCUCCCAUCAUAAAAAAUAAUAUCAGCACCUUGCUUUUCAUGUCAGAACUACA